This 465-nucleotide ribosomal RNA is filed under the name uncultured bacterium. RNAcentral's name for it is "partial 16S ribosomal RNA". It matches the Rfam family "Bacterial small subunit ribosomal RNA", at positions 28 to 507 of the family's 1533-position model. The record is from RNAcentral.
GACGAACGCUGGCGGCGUGCUUAACACAUGCCAGUCGAACGGAAAGGCCCCUUUGGGGGUACUCGAGUGGCGAACGGGUGAGUAACACGUGAGUAACCUGCCCUUGACUUCGGGAUAACUUCAGGAAACUGGGGCUAAUACCGGAUAGGAAUCCUUGCUGCAUGGUGGGGGUUGGAAAGCUUCGGCGGUUUUGGAUGGACUCGCGGCUUAUCAGCUUGUUGGUGGGGUAGUGGCUUACCAAGGCUUUGACGGGUAGCCGGCCUGAGAGGGCGACCGGCCACAUUGGGACUGAGAUACGGCCCAGACUCCUACGGGAGGCUGCAGUGGGGAAUAUUGCACAAUGGGCGGAAGCCUGAUGCAGCAACGCCGCGUGCGGGAUGACGGCCUUCGGGUUGUAAACCGCUUUCAGCAGGGGCGAAGCUUGUGGUGACGGUACCUGCAGAAGAAGCACCGGCUAACUACGUG